This 746-nucleotide ribosomal RNA is filed under the name uncultured cyanobacterium. RNAcentral describes it as "bacterial SSU rRNA". It matches the Rfam family "Bacterial small subunit ribosomal RNA", at positions 8 to 796 of the family's 1533-position model. Lineage: Bacteria; Bacillati; Cyanobacteriota. The record is from RNAcentral.
AGAGUUUGAUCCUGGCUCAGGAUGAACGCUGGCGGUAUGCUUAACACAUGCAAGUCGAACGGAUGUUUUCGGACAUUAGUGGCGGACGGGUGAGUAACGCGUGAGAAUCUAGCUUCAGGUUGGGGACAACAGUUGGAAACGACUGCUAAUACCGAAUAUGCCGAGAGGUGAAAGAUUAAUUGCCUGAAGAAGAGCUCGCGUCUGAUUAGCUAGUUGGUGGGGUAAGAGCUUACCAAGGCGACGAUCGGUAGCUGGUCUGAGAGGACGAUCAGCCACACUGGGACUGAGACACGGCCCAGACUCCUACGGGAGGCAGCAGUGGGGAAUUUUCCGCAAUGGGCGAAAGCCUGACGGAGCAAUACCGCGUGAGGGAAGAAGGCUCUUGGGUUGUAAACCUCUUUUCUUAGGGAAGAAAAAAAUGACGGUACCUAAGGAAUAAGCAUCGGCUAACUCCGUGCCAGCAGCCGCGGUAAUACGGAGGAUGCAAGCGUUAUCCGGAAUGAUUGGGCGUAAAGCGUCCGCAGGUGGCAAGUCAAGUUUGCGGUUAAAGGUUCUGGCUCAACCAGAGACAGGCCGUGAAAACUGACUAGCUAGAGUAUGGUAGGGGCAGAGGGAAUUCCCAGUGUAGCGGUGAAAUGCGUAGAGAUUGGGAAGAACACCGGUGGCGAAAGCGCUCUGCUAGGCCAAAACUGACACUGAGGGACGAAAGCUAGGGGAGCGAAUGGGAUUAGAUACCCCCGUAGUCC